This 488-nucleotide ribosomal RNA is filed under the name Neoscytalidium dimidiatum. RNAcentral describes it as "partial 28S ribosomal RNA". It matches the Rfam family "Eukaryotic large subunit ribosomal RNA", at positions 104 to 594 of the family's 3401-position model. Lineage: Eukaryota; Fungi; Ascomycota; Dothideomycetes; Botryosphaeriales; Botryosphaeriaceae. The record is from RNAcentral.
ACAGCUCAAAUUUGAAAGCUGGCCCCCCCCGGGGGUCCGCGUUGUAAUUUGUAGAGGAUGAUUCGGCGAGGGCUCCCGCCUAAGUCCCCUGGAACGGGGCGUCAUAGAGGGUGAGAAUCCCGUAUGCGGUGGGCUGCCUUAGCCAUGUGAAUCUCCUUCGACGAGUCGAGUUGUUUGGGAAUGCAGCUCUAAAUGGGAGGUAAAUUUCUUCUAAAGCUAAAUACCGGCCAGAGACCGAUAGCGCACAAGUAGAGUGAUCGAAAGAUGAAAAGCACUUUGGAAAGAGAGUUAAAAAGUACGUGAAAUUGUUGAAAGGGAAGCGCUUGCAGCCAGACUUGCCCGCAGUUGCUCAGCCGGUCUCCUGACCGGCGCACUCUUCUGCGGCCAGGCCAGCAUCAGUUCGGGCGGUCGGAUAAAGGCCCCGGGAACGUAGCUCCUCUCGGGGAGUGUUAUAGCCCGGGGUGGAAUGCGGCCAGCCUGGACUGAGG